GGUGCAACAACAGUGUCUAAAGAAGAACUCAGUGACAGGACCAGUCAUUGAGUCUGGUGUAGAGUUCAUGCUCCAUCUCAGCUUGAUGGAAUUGAUGGGAGAAGGCCAAACUUACAGAGACAUUGAAGUCUGAAGACGUUUGUAUGAAAUAAAUAAAUAAAAAUGUAUGAGUUUGGUUUCCGUUUCCCCUGUUCGUUACUCAUUCUAGCACAGUAAUCACCACAUGCCAUCUGCCCCCUAUUCCUCACCUGUAAGAUUUAGAACUCCUUGCAGACAUCCUGAAUUUAGGGAGGCCAGGCAACAUAGUAUAGACUUUGAAGUAGAAACUGUUUCAAGGCUGGCAUUUUCUUUUUAAAUCCCAUGACAUUUCCUCAAUGCUCCUGAAUGGGAGAAUGAGAGUGACACAGAGAGGGGGCAACCAAAUAAACCCUUCCAAGGAGCUGAAGCCACUAAUCUGUAAUUUAAUUUCAAGCGGGUGUCUGGGCCAUGAGGACACAUGGCAAGGUCAAGGGCUACUGUACAGAGAGCGAGAGAGAGAUGUGGAUUUGGAAGCACAGCCUUCGGUUUGAUCAACAGCUUCAUCCAGCUUAGAAGGAGUAGUGAUGGGUUGGGGGGGGGGGUAACCCUUCCUUUCCUACCUCUCAGAGACAGCCAGCCUGUCUGUUCCACCAGCCCAACCGCAGCCACUUAUUUCACACACGGCAGUAGCAAAUACUCCUGGAGGAAAUUCAUUAUUCAAACAACUAAGAUGUUUGGGAUGAAUAAGCAUCUGCAAGUCCCUAAGAACGUGAGAGCGUAACUGGCAAUUGAACACGUCCGGCUAGAUCCACAUGUAAAUGAAAGAUUUGUAUUACUUUUCACCAUUAUUCUUGUUUUCCUCAUUAUGUAGAGGAGUGUAAGUCUGCAGAUAAAUCAGCUCUAAUGGAGAAGUGGAGGUAUGAAUUGUGAGCAGUGUGGCUAAUCCCAUGGGUAAGGAGAUAUGUGUAAUAGGGUGGACCUUGUUCUCCAUGAACACACAUGCAGUGGCCCUGGAAAUGGACGCAAUAAUUACCAGUGACCACUCGGGAACAUUUUCACCAUGUCUCUUUAAUGCGAAUCGGCACUGGGUUCUUUUAUGGACGGCUUUGGCAUUCAUACGCACAUUGACAUUUGGCACAAGGACCUGCUCGAGUACCUGUAUACUGUAACAGAACUUAUACAAUCACCCACCCACCCUCCAUCUUGAAUUCAUAAAACAUUCCACCUUGGCAGUCAAGAGUAGCUGAGAAGAGCCCAUGUUCAUUAAAAACCUUACAUAUAAGGCUGCUGUCAGGUCACUGAGAGAACCAGGGUGUAUCCCAUGCACCAUUUGCAGUUUGUUCGAGCUUAGCUGGCAUUCAAUUUCAAUUCCCUCAAGUUAUUGAAUAUACGAGAACGGUAGACACUGACAGGUACAAGUUACUCCACGGGCAACCAUUAAUUAGUGAGUCGAGGAGUAAAUGGAGAGUUACACAGCUACACUCUGUCUCUGGCAGGUAGGCAGCUAGGGAGACGCUGAUGGCAGCCUCAGCUUGGUCAUCUCUUAAACUGUUCACUUCCUAUUAGAAAUGAGAUUCUGGGCCUCUCAAACUUCCUACCUCGAUACAUAGUGAAGAGAAAAUGUUGUCCAGGUUCGAGACAGGGAGCCUGUCAAAUCCAAUGGCCUUCAAGUGGAGCUUCUCUUUAGCCUAUUGCAUAGAAAUGAAUACGACUCCACACCCGCGUUCAUAUACUUUGUUAAUUGAAGGAGUAGCAGGGGAAGGGAAAUGUAGAGUGCUGUAAUAGGAUAUGAUGGGUUUAUGUCUUUUUGGAAGCCCAGGAGGAAGUGGUCCUGUAGGGAUGGGUAUGAUGGACUCAUUGUCAGCUCAGUAAGGACUGGAAACUGUGUGGGUAGGAGCCAGUGGAACCAGUCUCUCCGUUGAUGGAUAGGUGUAGUGGGAUUAAAUAUAAGACUCAUCGCUGUCUCACCGUCUGCCUCCUCACUGCUGAAAAAAAAAAUAUAUUGUGUUAGAGAGAGGGAGGUUGUCAGACCAAAACCUUAUAGUGAUUUGUGCUGUGGAGAAAAAACAUUACAGAGACACUUUCUUAUUCCAACAGGACAAUAUUACAGUUUGUUCCUUUUGAUGACUGCAACAUCCCAGUCUUUAUCCACUUUAUCUGUUUUCCAUACUACAGGUAACUCUUCUAAACUUUUAAUGUAGUUUACCCACUCCGGUCCCAAUAGACCCCUCCACACCACUGCUAAUGCUACCACAGCAAAUUAAACUGCUCUCCCUGAAUCAUUAAACUGGUUCGAGAAUUAGCUCAGACACACAGGGUUUAUAAUGGGGCGGCAGGUAGCCUAGUGGUUAGAGCGUUGGGCCAGUAACCGAAAGGUUGCUAGAUUGAAACCCCGAGCUGACAAGGUAAAAAUCUGUC
This is a long non-coding RNA of Oncorhynchus tshawytscha (Chinook salmon), 2436 nucleotides long. The record is from Ensembl. NCBI's taxonomy places the organism in Eukaryota, Metazoa, Chordata, Actinopteri, Salmoniformes, Salmonidae.